UGAUAAAAGGCACUUCUGCGCACAAAACAGGAUAUUAGGAUAUGUUCGAUGUGUCAGUCAGUGUAACUUUGGAAUACCACUGUUGCGUCAUUUACAAACUAUUGAGUCAAUAUCAUCUGUUGCCGAAACAUGUUACCCCUGCAUUGGAAAACCAAAUUAUUCAUUUAUUGCGAGAUGGGAUCACCUACGACACGAAUACAAACGUAUUUACACGGAGAUCAAAGAAACAAAAUACCUGGUUUGCUAAAAUUGUCAGAGCAGAACACCAACGAUAGACGACAUACCAGUUAUGUCAAUUAUAUAAAUGAGUUGCUUAGGUACUUUGGAAAAGAACGAGUUCAUCUGGUCGGAAGUACAGCUGAAAACUUGAAAUUGCGGUGGUCAACAGACGGUGGUGACGCCGACUUUCUUCUCGUAUCAGGGAGACUGGAGAUUCCAGUAGCAAAUAUAAUACCGCGCUCAGAUACGCCUAGGUACAUUUGGUUGCGCGGUGAUCAUCUUGACGAGCGGUAUCGUGGACAUUUGCUUGAUGGGAAGUAUCUCUGCGCGCAGCUUUUGCGGACUGUCGAUCCUCAAUUGUUUACAACAUUGCGCGCGAUUCAUACGAUCGUGACAUCGCCUGCAGAUUUUGUUCCAGGAAGAGAGAGUCGAAUGACAAGCGUUGGUGUAAACUCAAAGGUCGGUUUAGCAAGGCUACAAAUGCGGGACCUUGUAGUUGACAACAACGCGUUCCCAGGGAAGACGAGAGGAAGGCAUGUUGGGAAACGCUGCGCCAAUAUAACAGCACAGUUAAAACUACGUUGGAAAGAAGUGAAAGUAAACCAAGAAGAUUUAAAGACGUUGAAGAGACUUCUGAAGAUAGUAGCACUAGUAAAGGAACCAGGAACUAAAGGAGAACAUCAUGGGUCGUUUAACUACUUUGCCACAAUGCUAUCUGAGGCGCUUAGCCGGCCUUCGCUUUUUGAAGAUGAUCUAGACGAUGAGGAAGUUAUCGUCUUUGAAAACGAUAUGGAUAUUGAUGAGAAUCAUGGUAAUGAGAGGAUCAAAGCAACUUACGAUGACAAGACAAGCAAAGAUUUUGUUCCUGCAGCCCGAGUAAGUGGAAAACUUCAGUGCAUGGUUGAUUUUCGAAACAGAAUGACGCAUGCUGCAUGGCCAUCUCAGUCAAUCGCUGAAGACAUAUUCAACAACGACGUUUUCGUAAUAUGUAGAUCGGCUCCAUUAAAUCCAUCCGCAGACAAAGAUUUUUGCCUUGGUUUCAACCUUUCUGAAAUAACACUUAGCCAGAAUAUGCCAGAAGUCGCUAAGACCGUCUACAUUAUCAUGAAAUCGUACUUGAAAGGUUUAUUCCAAAAGCGGUUCAAUGCUAAGAACCGUGAAGAAGUUAGACUGAAGUCGUACCAUGUGAAGACGGCGAUUUUUUGGACCCUUGAAAAGCAUGGAUCGUGUAGCUUUUGGACAGGGACUUCUGAUGAUUCCAUUCUUCAGGGCAUUCGUUACGUUCUCGACAAAAUCAAUAAAUGCUUAAAAGACCGACAGCUGUGCCACUACUUCGUCACGAACAGCAACAUGUUCGACGGGUUUCAGGAGGAGGAAUAUUCCCUGUGUGAAGCAUGCGUGGACGAGAUCAUGAAAGACCCUGUCGGAAGUAUUGCACUCUUUUUUGAAUUGGAUAAAGCAAAAAAGGCAGAAUACUGGUUGUCUCCAGAUGAGUUUGAGCAAGUUAUGGCUUUAAAGAAGGAUGGUGGAAGAAAGGACUUCGUUGAUCGAUUGGAAGAUGCGUUAAUUGAUAUGCUUAGAGGUUUCAAUGAAGCUCCUAGGAGUCCCGAUGGAUCUUCUCCAAUCAGAAACGCAGCUUUAGGCGUUAUAGAGUUGUUUCGUAAAGAAGAACAAGAGAAAACCGGGGGUAAACAGUCAAGACGGGAAAGUAAUUGUGAAAGUCAACUAAAACCGGAACAUGUCCUUAGUGGAAACCGUUCUGGGGCGUCGGUGGUUGGUGGGCUGCUUAAUAUGCUACCGCACAAAGGGAAAGACGUUCAAAAAUGGACAGAUGGACUUGUUCAGUUCGCAUCGCAUUUUCCUGAAAGUCGCAAGUACAUUGAUAUGGUUGGUGGUAGUAGCGGGGUUUGGGAUGUCUUGCAAGCCGCUUCAAGUUCAGAUCCUUUAGCUGAGAUCAGAGCGGCGGUCGACAGGUACUUGUCCUGCCCGGACGACGUGGUGGACUCUGUUGCUAUGGAACUGAAGCAGAAGAUAAUCGCCUAUUUCAUUGGACAAAAGGAACUAUAGUCAUCUUGGACACCUACACUACCGGAAGACAUCAUUUUAACGGCACAACCGUCGGUGCUGGAUGUGUGCGUUGAGAUGCCAACACCCUCACGACUCUGGGAAGUGUUCAAAACUAGUUUCAUGUUUGUUCUAGACGUUUCGCAGAUGGUAGACAAUUCAAAGAGAAAAGCCAAAACGCGCUGGCUGGUGAGGAAGCCCGUAUAAUCAAUUGUUUGACAGUAACGCCAUUGAAACUGAUGUCGAUAACAGUAACCCCAGUGAAACUGAUGUCGAUAACAGUAACACCAGUGAAACUGAUGUUAAUAACAGUACUCCCAGUGAAACUGAUGUCGAUAACAGUAGCCCCAGUGAAACUGAUGUCGAUAACAGUAACCCUGUUGUAUCCAAAUUGGAAAUCCUGACUGCUACUUAAUACAGAAAGUACUGGUGUAACACUCAAUUCAUGCCUCAGUAGGAACAAUCCAUAUCUAUGCUGCAAUACGUAUCCAGAAAGUUGCCGAAAUCAGCACCAUAACAUCCUGUAAUUAUUAAAUAACCUUGUUAUACCCAUAUGCCUAUGCUAAAAGCAGAGAAAGUUUAUCAGCUCAUAGAAUUCUACUUUAGCCAAGACAGUACUUCUUCUGAUUCGGAUGCAAGAUUUUACACCGGCUUGAGUUAGUUUGAAACCUUUGUGUAUCUUUGCUGUUGUAUUAUCAUAACUAGUAUAUCAUACUAAAUAGAUGUGUUUAUAAAUGCAUAUGUAUUAUUAUUGUGUUGGAAAACAACUGCUGAAGAAGAGGACUUCGUAAUUUUGUAAAUAAAACUGUCAUAGUUAUGCCAUCAUAAAGUGUCGCUAUUUUCUGAGAUCAAUUAAUCCAUUGACUACACUGAAUUUUAAGAUACGACGGUUUGUUUUAGAGUGUCAUUUUUGGCCAUAAAUGUAUUGCAUUUCACAAUUUCAUCUUAUCUGGUUGAUUAAAA
Mya arenaria is the source of this 3246-nucleotide RNA transcript. RefSeq lists it as uncharacterized. The transcript has 4 exons. The record is from RefSeq and is a predicted model, not a curated record. NCBI's taxonomy places the organism in Eukaryota, Metazoa, Mollusca, Bivalvia, Myida, Myidae.